GCUUAUUAGACAUGCACGUGGUCUCAACUGUGCCAGCUUGGAAAUAGCUUACGAACUCAAGGUGACAGUUUUCCUUGGUCUUGACCAGGGCCUUCUUGUAGAGGGCCUAGGGGUGAGUUCUGCACAGUGGCCGGGGCCUGUGUGGGAAUUUGAUUGACACCUGCAGAUUUCACCAUGCUCUGGAUACAGCUGUGGCCUCCCCACCCCUGUGGCCUCAUGAUUGGUGAUGUGGGCCCCUACUGGAGCAGCCAGGAUUUAGGAAUACCAGCGCCGCAGUCUCCCCAUGGCUUUCAGCAAAUAGGGACUGUUUGUCCAUAUCUCCUGUAAACAGUUGUUUUCUCAGUGAUCACCCAGCUCGUGUUAAAUACUAACAGAGAACUGCUCCACAGCCUCUCUUGGGUUGUCUGUUUUAAAUAUUUAAGUAAUUGCUCUUCCUUGUCGCUGAGUGACAUUUUGGCUCAAAUUUUCAAAUUUGCUGUAACUGCUGUUGCUUCUCUGGUUAUUAAAUUGCGUGAAAUGUC
Molecule: long non-coding RNA, 521 nt
Organism: Mesocricetus auratus (golden hamster)
Lineage: Eukaryota; Metazoa; Chordata; Mammalia; Rodentia; Cricetidae
Exons: 2
Source: RefSeq, a predicted model, not a curated record